CCUACGGGUGGCAGCAGUGAGGAAUAUUGGUCAAUGGACGAGAGUCUGAACCAGCCAAGUAGCGUGAAGGAUGACUGCCCUAUGGGUUGUAAACUUCUUUUAUAUGGGAAUAAAAUGUUCCACGUGUGGGAUUUUGUAUGUACCAUAUGAAUAAGGAUCGGCUAACUCCGUGCCAGCAGCCGCGGUAAUACGGAGGAUCCGAGCGUUAUCCGGAUUUAUUGGGUUUAAAGGGAGCGUAGGUGGAUUGUUAAGUCAGUUGUGAAAGUUUGCGGCUCAACCGUAAAAUUGCAGUUGAAACUGGCAGUCUUGAGUACAGUAGAGGUGUGCGGAAUUCGUGGUGUAGCGGUGAAAUGCUUAGAUAUCACGAAGAACUCCGAUUGCGAAGGCAGUUCACUGGACUGCAACUGACACUGAGGCUCGAAAGUGUGGGUAUCAAACAGGAUUAGAUACCCUAGUAGUC
This 460-nucleotide ribosomal RNA is filed under the name uncultured bacterium. Its description in RNAcentral is "partial 16S ribosomal RNA". It matches the Rfam family "Bacterial small subunit ribosomal RNA", at positions 338 to 795 of the family's 1533-position model. The record is from RNAcentral.